UACGUAGGGUGCAAGCGUUGUCCGGAAUUAUUGGGCGUAAAGAGCUCGUAGGCGGUUUGUCGCGUCGGCUGUGAAAGCCCGGAGCUCAACUCCGGGUCUGCAGUCGAUACGGGCAGACUUGAGUGUUGCAGGGGAGACUGGAAUUCCUGGUGUAGCGGUGGAAUGCGCAGAUAUCAGGAGGAACACCGGUGGCGAAGGCGGCCUGCUGGGCAGUAGCUGACACUGAGGCGCGACAGCGUGGGGAGCAAACAGG
Molecule: ribosomal RNA, 253 nt
Filed under: uncultured bacterium
Lineage: Bacteria
Description: partial 16S ribosomal RNA
Rfam family: Bacterial small subunit ribosomal RNA
Source: RNAcentral